AGCGAGUCUGCCUUGAAGAUCGGAGUGCUUGCACUCUGUGAAACAAGAUACAGGCUAGCGGCGGACGGGUGAGUAACACGUGGGUAACCUGCCCAAGAGAUCGGGAUAACACCUGGAAACAGAUGCUAAUACCGGAUAACAACAGAUGAUGCCUAUCAACUGUUUAAAAGAUGGUUCUGCUAUCACUCUUGGAUGGACCUGCGGUGCAUUAGCUAGUUGGUAGGGUAACGGCCUACCAAGGCGAUGAUGCAUAGCCGAGUUGAGAGACUGAUCGGCCACAUUGGGACUGAGACACGGCCCAAACUCCUACGGGAGGCAGCAGUAGGGAAUCUUCCACAAUGGACGCAAGUCUGAUGGAGCAACGCCGCGUGAGUGAAGAAGGGUUUCGGCUCGUAAAGCUCUGUUGUUGGUGAAGAAGGACAGGGGUAGUAACUGACCUUUGUUUGACGGUAAUCAAUUAGAAAGUCACGGCUAACUACGUGCCAGCAGCCGCGGUAAUACGUAGGUGGCAAGCGUUGUCCGGAUUUAUUGGGCGUAAAGCGAGUGCAGGCGGCUCGAUAAGUCUGAUGUGAAAGCCUUCGGCUCAACCGGAGAAUUGCAUCAGAAACUGUCGAGCUUGAGUACAGAAGAGGAGAGUGGAACUCCAUGUGUAGCGGUGAAAUGCGUAGAUAUAUGGAAGAAC
RNAcentral lists this ribosomal RNA (682 nucleotides) under uncultured bacterium. RNAcentral's name for it is "bacterial SSU rRNA". It matches the Rfam family "Bacterial small subunit ribosomal RNA", at positions 56 to 707 of the family's 1533-position model. The record is from RNAcentral.